RNAcentral lists this ribosomal RNA (468 nucleotides) under uncultured bacterium. RNAcentral's name for it is "partial 16S ribosomal RNA". It matches the Rfam family "Bacterial small subunit ribosomal RNA", at positions 28 to 507 of the family's 1533-position model. The record is from RNAcentral.
GACGAACGCUGGCGGCGUGCUUAACACAUGCAAGUCGAACGGAAAGGCCCUGCUUUUGUGGGGUGCUCGAGUGGCGAACGGGUGAGUAACACGUGAGUAACCUGCCCUUGACUUUGGGAUAACUUCAGGAAACUGGGGCUAAUACCGGAUCGGAGCUCCUGCUGCAUGGUGGGGGUUGGAAAGUUUCGGCGGUUGGGGAUGGACUCGCGGCUUAUCAGCUUGUUGGUGGGGUAGUGGCUGACCAAGGCUUUGACGGGUAGCCGGCCUGAGAGGGUGACCGGGCACAAUGGGACUGAGAGACGGCGCAGUCGGCAACGGGAGGCAGCAGUGGGGAAUAUGGCACAACGGGCGGGAGCCUGAGGCAGCGACGCCGCGUGCGUGAUGCCGGCCUUCGGGGUGUGAACAGCUGUCGCCUGAGACGAAGCGUGUGUGACGGUAAUGGGUAAAGAAGCACCGGCUAACUACGUG